GGACUACACGGGUAUCUAAUCCUGUUUGCUCCCCACGCUUUCGUGCAUGAGCGUCAGUAUCGACCCAGGGGGCUGCCUUCGCCAUCGGUGUUCCUCCACAUCUCUACGCAUUUCACUGCUACACGUGGAAUUCCACCCCCCUCUGCCGUACUCGAGUCUUGCAGUCACAAGCGCAGUUCCCAGGUUAAGCCCGGGGAUUUCACACCUGUCUUACAAAACCGCCUGCGCACGCUUUACGCCCAGUAAUUCCGAUUAACGCUCGCACCCUACGUAUUACCGCGGCUGCUGGCAC
This 292-nucleotide ribosomal RNA is filed under the name uncultured bacterium. Its description in RNAcentral is "partial 16S ribosomal RNA". The record is from RNAcentral.